Long non-coding RNA from Melospiza melodia melodia, 1405 nucleotides. RefSeq lists it as uncharacterized. The transcript has 6 exons. The record is from RefSeq and is a predicted model, not a curated record. Lineage: Eukaryota; Metazoa; Chordata; Aves; Passeriformes; Passerellidae.
GCACAACACCUGGAGCAGCAGCCACAGCUGAGCCCACUGCAGCUGAAAUACCAGAGACAGCCUCACCUGCUGCAUCAGUCCCUCCACCUCCUGAAACAGCAGCCAUUGUCACUGCCAAUCCACAGACAAACGCAGCAACUACAGGCUCAGCAGAGCUCGUUCCCCUGCCUAACUAUGUGAAGCUCUUGUUGCUGAAAUACCUAAACAGCCUGUGCCAGCCAAGGAGACCUGGGAUGCCAGAAGUAACAUUGGAAGGGUGUGUAAAGGAUCCAACCUGUGGGAAUCAGCCUUCACCAGGCCAGAGGCUCAUCCAGCUCCGUCACGGGGCUGCUGUAAACCCCAGACUCUGCCUGAGGUGCAAAGUAUCAGGGUGCAAUGCACCCCCUCCUCCUCCUCCUCCUCCUCCCAGACCCUUCCCAGGCGGCAGGCUCCCUCCUCUCAGACCCUUCCCAGUGAACAGGUUCCCUCCUCUCAGACCCUUCCCAGGGAACAGGCUCCCCCCUGUCAGACCCUUCCCAGGGAACAGGCUCCCCCCUCUCAGACCUUUCCCAGUGAACAGGCUCCCUCCUCCCAGACCCUUCCCAUGGAACAGGAGAAGAGCCAGGAGAAGCGCAAGCGACGUCGUUAUUGUCAUCGUCUCCUAGUAAGGAUGCUUCUGACCAUGACGUUAUGUUGAGCACCUCUAGACCUGUUCAUUGUGUUCCAAGAUCUGCUGCUCAUUCCUAAAAAUAUGCUAGUGGGUGUAAAUCUAAAGGUAUUUCAUCUUAAAUUAACUUGGGUGCCUUAAAUUCAGAUCUUUCGAAUCGAUGCAGCGGAUCUUGUAAAAGCCUGAACUUCAAUAAAUACUCUCAGUGACAAAAAUAAUUGGACCGACUGCCUGUUUUUUCUCAAGAUUUUGUUUCCUUCUCAAUGUUGCUUCAGUUCUAAUUGUGCUCAGUUCACAUAAAACUCCACCACACUCCUAACCCUGUGCUCUGCUUCUCACAGGUAUUGAUUUAAAAGGCAUUGGGUUCUGGAGCAUUGACUGGCAGGGAUCCACAGGCCAGCUCACACAUUCACUGCAGAGUCACAUCCUCCUCUCAGACCCUUCCUCCUCUCAGACCCUUCCCAGUGAACAGGCUCCCCCCUCUCAGACCCUUCCCAGUGAACAGGUUCCCUCCUCCCAGACCCUUCCCAUGGAACAGGAGAAGCGCAAGCGACGUCGUUAUUGUCAUCGUCUCCUAGUAAUGAUGCUUCUGACCAUGACGUUAUGUUGAGCACCUCUAGACCUGUUCAUUGUGUUCCAAGAUCUGCUGCUCAUUCCUAAAAAUAUGCUAGUGGGUGUAAAUCUAAAGGUAUUUCAUCUUAAAUUAACUUGGGUGCCUUAAAUUCAGAUCUUUCGAAUCGAUGCAGCGGAUCUUGUAAA